AAAGUUUUGAAUGAAAGCAAAAAAUGUCGGAAAUAGCAUCACAUUUUAGAAUAAGUUUCGAUUUGUUCGAAUUGGUCACCUUUGGCACGAAUUAUGGUCUUCCAACGGCCUAUGAAACCGUCACACGCUACCAGAAUGUUGCUCCGCGGUAUUUUGGCCCAUUCCCGGCGAAGCGCUUGCUUGAGGUGAUCAACACUUUGCUCAUUUGAGUCUAUUUUAUUUCAGAUGCGGUGUAAGUUCUUGCACUUUUUUGUAUUUCAAUGGCUUACCUCGGCCUCAUUUUUCAAUAUUUGCCGAAUGGAAUAUUGCGGUAUGUUCGGCUCACGAGUCAUAUUUCGGCCACUGCAACGCGGAUUUCGAUUAAGUCGCUUCUUUACUUUUCGAACAAUUGAUGUUGCUGUUUUCUUCCGUUCAUUUCCUUGACGUCGGGCUACGCUACCAGUAUCAUGGUAACGAGCGAUGGUACGAGACAUAAAUGAUUUAUUCACAUUUAAAUGCUGGAGUGCUCUAACGAUAGCAACUUGUGGUUUUCCAGCCAAAUAUAAAGAAAUCACACUAUCGAGCUUGAAUUCUAUCACGAAUAACUUUUUUCUGGAAAAUUCUCACCAAAAUU
Molecule: long non-coding RNA, 613 nt
Organism: Musca vetustissima
Lineage: Eukaryota; Metazoa; Arthropoda; Insecta; Diptera; Muscidae
Exons: 2
Source: RefSeq, a predicted model, not a curated record